AUUUUAUUAAAAAAAAUUUGGUUGAAAUUGUGUCAAAUCAAUGUUAAAUAAUGCAUUUUGAUGAAAAAUAUGGUUCAAACAAGGGCUAUAUUUUGUUUUUAAGUUCGUGAAUAGCUUAACUAAAACUUCGAUAAAUGUAAGUCUUGUAAGUUAAAUAUACUCAAUAAUUAUAACUAAGAUUUGGGAAAGAUGUCCUAGUUUUAUUUUAAUUGUUCCUAGAUCUAUCAAAUACAAAAUGUCAAAAUAAGUAUAUUGCUUGAUAUUAUCACAAAGAAUAGCGAUCAUCAUCAAGUCAGAGGACACUGAACAUAGUAGAAAAUGCAUUUUAGUACAUUGAAUAAUGAAUCGGAGAGCUUACCAUCAUCCUCCAUUACUAUUCUCUUUCUCGAUUCUUGGUGUCUAGGUAUCCCCAUUGAGAUGACCAAUGCCUAGCCACAAUCAAGUUGACCAUGCGUAAUCAAUGGGCUAAGUUAGGUGGUGAUUGUUGGUAGGAAUUAAGUCUAAACUACCAUAGUGUUGGGCACCUCAUAAGUAACAAGGUUGAUCGUGGUCCAUAUUGUAGUGCAACUUUUUGGGGGAUUUUUUUAUUUAGCCUAUUACUAUUUCUUUUUAUGGAAAAGU
This 621-nucleotide long non-coding RNA is filed under the name Olea europaea subsp. europaea. Lineage: Eukaryota; Viridiplantae; Streptophyta; Magnoliopsida; Lamiales; Oleaceae. The record is from RNAcentral.